RNAcentral lists this long non-coding RNA (1114 nucleotides) under Cicer arietinum (chickpea). RNAcentral describes it as "long non-coding RNA (CARI_LNC000338)". The record is from RNAcentral. Lineage: Eukaryota; Viridiplantae; Streptophyta; Magnoliopsida; Fabales; Fabaceae.
ACAAAUUGUUAUAAAUAUUUAUGUUUAUGUAGUUAGCUCCUUGAGUCUCGAAAAUGAAUCGAGACCGUUGGCACCGAGUUAGCGGUGGGGAGAACUCUGAUAUAUUAAUGUUGUUGUGGUGAUUUAUGGUUGAAAAUUUUGGAGAUUGAAUAUGAGUGAUUAAUGUUUGGAAAUUUUGGUGAUUCAUGUUUGGUGAAAUUGAUGUGUUCAUAAUUAAUAUUAUGAAUUUUUGAGAAGAAAUUUAUGUGUGACUUGGUGGAAAAUGAAUUUAAUUCAAUUUAGGUGUGAAUGGAAUUUGGAGUUGUGAUUUAUGUGUGGUUGUGGAAAUUUUAAUUGGUGUGAAUAAAUUUAAUUGGUGUUUGAAAAAUCAUUCGUGUUAAAUGAACAUUAAAAAUGGGGAAUCUUUUAAUAGCUGCAUUUACUUAAUGAUUAUGGUGAAAAGAGUUAGAGUAUGCUCAUGGAUUUCAUAGUACAUGGUGACCGCGAUAGGGCCAUGGUGAUAGUGGUGACCAUGAUGGGCCACGGGAUGAUGCCAUGUGAAUUGUUGGUUCAUCUUAUCCUUGCGGGGAUUGUCGCGUCGUGCUGAUCUGUGAGAGAUUGCACUCUAGAAUGUGCUGAUCUGUGAGCGAUUGCACUCUAGAAAAUCGUGCUGGUCUGUGAGAGACUGCACGCUAGUAAAUUGUGCUGGUCUGUGAGCGACUGCACACUUGUAUGUCGUGCUGGUCUGUGAGAGACUGCACGCUAGUAAAUCGUACUGAUUCGUGAGAGAUUGCACCUCGGUGAUUAGUACUGGUCUGUGAGAGGCUGUACAAUUAUGAUUUACGCCUCUCGAGGAGGGUUUUGGUUUGGAAUUAUGGAAUCAUGCAUUUUGGCAUAUACGCAUUGCAUUAGAGUGUUUGACAUGCGAGUUAUGUUUGUUAUACUAUGAUGAUUGUAUAUACAUAUUCGGUUGUUGUUGUGAUUUGUCGUAAUUGCUUUGAGGUGUGAAGUUGGGUUGAUUAAGUUUUGAUGUAAUUAUGUGUUCAUAAUUGAUUUAAUGAAUAUUCGAAGUGUUGAUUGAUUCAGAGCUAUUUUAGAACUGAAAUUUUGCCUUUUCUCAAUUGUAUUCGGCUAC